UGAAAGCUCCGUGCUCAACGCGGAGAGGUCGUUCAAUACUGCCGAUCUGGAGGACAUCAGAGGGGCGUGGAAUUUCCGGUGUAGCGGUAAAAUGCGCAGAUAUCGGAAGGAAUACCAGUGGCGAAAGCGGCGCCCUGGGGUGGACCUGACGCUGAGAGACGAAAGCUAGGGGAGCAAACAGGAUUAGAGACCCUGGUAGUCCUAGCUAUAAACGAUGGAUGCUAGGUGUGGGGCCGAGAAGGCUCUGUGCCGCAGCCAACGCGCUAAGCAUCCCGCCUGGGGACUACGGCCGCAAGGCUAAAACUCAAACGAAUUGACGGGGCCCCGCACAAGCAGCGGAGCGUGUGGUUCAAUUCGAUGCUACACGAAGAACCUUACCUGGGCUUGACAUGGAGGUGGUAGGGAAGCGAAAGCGGACCGACCCUUCGGGGAGCCUUCACAGGUGCUGCAUGGCUGUCGUCAGCUCGUGCCGUGAGGUGUCGGGUUAAGUCCCGUAACGAGCGCAACCCUUGCCCUUAGUUACAAGUGUCUAAGGGGACUGCCGGCGGUAAGCCGGAGGAAGGUGGGGAUGACGUCAAGUCAGCAUGGCCCUUAUGUCCAGGGCUACACACACGCUACAAUGGUCGGUACAAAGGGCAGCGAAGCCGCGAGGUGGAGCGAAUCUCAUCAAAGCCGAUCGUAGUUCGGAUUGCAG
RNAcentral lists this ribosomal RNA (694 nucleotides) under uncultured Chloroflexota bacterium. Its description in RNAcentral is "bacterial SSU rRNA". It matches the Rfam family "Bacterial small subunit ribosomal RNA", at positions 595 to 1303 of the family's 1533-position model. The record is from RNAcentral. Lineage: Bacteria; Bacillati; Chloroflexota.